CUUUUCAGUUGCAAACUCCACUCCAUACAUAUAUAUGGGGAGGUACUAGUUCCAACUCUGAUUGACAAUGAAAACUGCAUGAACUUCAAACCAGCACUAAGAAUCAUACUGAGAAUGCAG
Molecule: non-coding RNA, 120 nt
Organism: Vicugna pacos (alpaca)
Lineage: Eukaryota; Metazoa; Chordata; Mammalia; Artiodactyla; Camelidae
Source: RefSeq, a predicted model, not a curated record